ACAUAGGAUCCGAGGUUGCAGAAAAUAGAGGAUCCCGUCCGCUCUCCUGGACUCAAGCUGCAAACCGGUAGAUUAGUACUGCAGUGGGUGACCAUGUGGGAAUACCUACUGUUCUAUGUU
Molecule: ribosomal RNA, 120 nt
Filed under: Hortaea werneckii EXF-2000
Lineage: Eukaryota; Fungi; Ascomycota; Dothideomycetes; Mycosphaerellales; Teratosphaeriaceae
Source: RNAcentral